Molecule: ribosomal RNA, 427 nt
Filed under: uncultured bacterium
Lineage: Bacteria
Description: partial 16S ribosomal RNA
Rfam family: Bacterial small subunit ribosomal RNA
Source: RNAcentral
UGGGGAAUAUUGGACAAUGGGCGCAAGCCUGAUGCAGCCAUGCCGCGUGUAUGAAGAAGGCCUUCGGGUUGUAAAGUACUUUCAGCGAGGAGGAAGGCGGUAAGGUUAAUAACCUUAUCGAUUGACGUUACUCGCAGAAGAAGCACCGGCUAACUCCGUGCCAGCAGCCGCGGUAAUACGGAGGGUGCAAGCGUUAAUCGGAAUUACUGGGCGUAAAGCGCACGCAGGCGGUCUGUCAAGUCGGAUGUGAAAUCCCCGGGCUCAACCUGGGAACUACAUUCGAAACUGCCAGGCUAGAGUCUUGUAGAGGCGGGUAGAAUUCCAGGUGUAGCGGUGAAAUGCGUAGAGAUCUGGAGGAAUACCGGUGGCGAAGGCGGCCCCCUGGACAAAGACUGACGCUCAGGUGCGAAAGCGUGGGGAGCAAACA